AUUCUAGCUUGAUAUUUUUAAGGUAUAUCCUUAAUUUACUGACUAUCAUCAAUAUGAUUAUAUAUUUUUAAACUUUAGCUCUCAGAUUUAUAGAAAUUCAUAAGGUUACUACAAACAGAAAAGAUUUUGAAUUUGUUAUAGUUUUCUCUAAUAUGUUAUAGACUGACUAAACUCUCACAUCAAGGAAGCAUCUACAACCUGAUAAUACAAAGCAC
RNAcentral lists this long non-coding RNA (215 nucleotides) under Elaeis guineensis (African oil palm). Its description in RNAcentral is "long non-coding RNA (EGUI_LNC042075)". The record is from RNAcentral. Lineage: Eukaryota; Viridiplantae; Streptophyta; Magnoliopsida; Arecales; Arecaceae.